AACAAAAACAUGUCCUUUAGAAUAUAAUUUGAGGUCUAACCUGCCCAAUGAUUAAUAUUUAAUGGCCGCAGUAUUUUGACUGUGCAAAGGUAGCAUAAUCAUUAGUUUUUUAAUUGAAAGCUUGUAUGAAUGGUUGGACGAGAAAAAAUCUGUCUUUAAUUAAUUAAAUGAAUUUAAUUUUUUAGUUAAAAAGCUAAAAUUAUUUUAAAAGACGAGAAGACCCUAUAGAUCUUUAUAUUAAUUUUAGUAAAUUUAAUAAGGAAUUUUUUUAAAUUUAUUUUUAAAAAUAUUUUAUUGGGGUAAUAAAAAGAUUAAUUUAAUUCUUUUAUUUAUUUUAUCAUUAAAUAAUGAUUUUUUUAUCCUUUUUUAUGGAAGUUUAAUUAAGUUACCUUAGGGAUAACAGCGUAAUUUUUUUAGAGAGUUCAUAUCGAUAAAAAAGUUUGCGACCUCGAUGUUG
Molecule: ribosomal RNA, 457 nt
Filed under: Laccophilus alluaudi
Lineage: Eukaryota; Metazoa; Arthropoda; Insecta; Coleoptera; Dytiscidae
Description: partial 16S ribosomal RNA
Rfam family: Bacterial large subunit ribosomal RNA
Source: RNAcentral